CAUGUGUCUGCAGGUCUCAUACAUGUGUCUGCAGGUCUCAUACAUGUGUCUGCAGGUCUCAUACAUGUGUCUGCAGGUCUCUUGCAUGUGUCUGCAGGUCUCAUGCAUGUGUCUGCAGGUCUCAUGCAUGUGUCUGCAGGUCUC
Small nucleolar RNA from Alexandromys fortis (reed vole), 144 nucleotides. RefSeq annotates it as small nucleolar RNA SNORA17. The record is from RefSeq and is a predicted model, not a curated record. Lineage: Eukaryota; Metazoa; Chordata; Mammalia; Rodentia; Cricetidae. The transcript has a single exon.